CCUACGGGGGGCAGCAGUCGGGAAUAUUGGGCAAUGGAGGAAACUCUGACCCAGCAAUACCGCGUGAAGGAUGAAUGUUUUCUGAUUGUAAACCUUUGUUAUUAAGGAAGUAAAAAAUGACGGUACUUUAUAAUUAUGUCUCGCCUAACUAUGUGCCAGCAGCCGCUGCGAUACAUAGGGGGCAAGCGUUCUCCGGAAUGACUGGGUGUAAAGGGUGUGUAGGUGGCGUAUUAAGUUAGUGGUGAAAGCCCGAAGCUCAACUACGGAACUGCCUUUAAAACUGGUUGGCUUGAGUGUAGGAGAGGUGAGUGGAACUCCUAGUGUAGCGGUGGAAUGCGUAGAUAUUAGGAAGAACAUCAGAGGCGAAGGCGGCUAACUGGAACGUAACUGACACUGAAACACGAAAGCGUGGGGAGCAAACAGGAUUAGAUACCCGUGUAGUC
Molecule: ribosomal RNA, 443 nt
Filed under: uncultured bacterium
Lineage: Bacteria
Description: partial 16S ribosomal RNA
Rfam family: Bacterial small subunit ribosomal RNA
Source: RNAcentral